AAAGUUUGCCAGACAAUCGCCGGCGGACCGACCGGUCGAAGGCCGGUCCGCGGGAGGAAAGUCCGGGCUCCGCAGGGCAGGGUGCUGGAUAACGUCCAGUCAGCGCGAGCUGAAGGAUAGUGCCACAGAAACGGACCGCCGAUGGCGGCGCGGGCUUCGGCCUUUUCGCCGCACAGGCAAGGGUGGAACCGUGGUGUAAGAGACCACGAGGAAGCCUGGCGACUCGCUUCCUGGUAAACCCCACCCGGAGCAAGACCGAACAGGACGCCGCGGCGUCUACGCCGCAAACCCUGGCCCGGGGUGCGUCCGGGUUGGUCGCUUGACCCCGCCGGCAACGGCGGGGCUAGAUAGAUGAUUGUCGCUUCCGGCGUCGGCCGGGAGGCGCCGGAAGAACAGAACCCGGCUUACGGCAAACUUUCCGC
RNAcentral lists this RNase P RNA (422 nucleotides) under Candidatus Reconcilbacillus cellulovorans. RNAcentral describes it as "Paenibacillaceae bacterium JTherm RNase P RNA component class A". It matches the Rfam family "Bacterial RNase P class A". From Rfam's summary of the family: Ribonuclease P (RNase P) is a ubiquitous endoribonuclease, found in archaea, bacteria and eukarya as well as chloroplasts and mitochondria. The record is from RNAcentral. Lineage: Bacteria; Bacillati; Bacillota; Bacilli; Caryophanales; Paenibacillaceae.